Molecule: long non-coding RNA, 1696 nt
Filed under: Phasianus colchicus (ring-necked pheasant)
Lineage: Eukaryota; Metazoa; Chordata; Aves; Galliformes; Phasianidae
Description: lncRNA (ENSPCLG00000011237.1)
Source: RNAcentral
AUAAAUCAAGAUGGGUGAGUGCCCAUGUCACCUCCGAACCAGCUUCUACUUGGCAUGCACAGGAAAAGCCUAAAAGGAGAAGGAGGAUGCUCCACAGCUGUGCCUUUUCCUCUGGCUCCUCCAUGAAGAGCUGUCCGUGGCUUUGCAGCAAAAGCACUCUCAGGAUGCAGAAGAGCAAAGAGACUUUUUAUUCUUCUAAGCAGGAUUCCCUGUCCAGUCUCCAUGAGAGACUGCUGGAGCCUUUCCUCUGCAUCAUUUGGGAUCACCUCUCCAUCUGGCAGCUGGGACACGGGAGGCAGCCACAGGGUGCCAUGGAGAGCUGCCAGGAGAAGAGGAGAUGGAGGACUAUAUCAUUGCAUACAGCUGCAGAGUGGAGCCUGCCUGCCUGAUGGAGCUCACAGCUCGGAUGCACCAAAGAGAGUCUCAGAUCAAACACGGACAUAGUGGGCAAAUCAGAGAAUGGAGCCCAAGCCCCUGGUUCAGAACAGCUGCCAGGUCAUUCAGACCAUCUAUGCUGACCCCUCCUUUAAUUUUCUCCCCAGGCCUUAUUUUUGAAAGAGUAACCUGACCAUUUUUGUGGAGUAGAAAUCGCUGUUUUCUCGCAUUUUACCUGGUAAUAGACAGUCUCCAAUUAAAUCAUCUGGGAACCAGCAAAGCAAAAUAAGGAGGAAAUCAGAUGUCAAAAUGCUGUUACACACCUCUCGAGCACCAGGAGCUAGCAAUCUGUUCCCCUCAUCUCACAGGGCUUGCCAUCACUUCCAGCUGCCAUGAAUGGGGCCCGUGGCAUCAUGAAGCACAGGAAGUUCCGCACAAAUGUGCGCAAGAACUUCUUUACAGUGGGGGUGAUGGAGCACUGGAACAGGCUGCCCAAGGAGGUUGUGGAGUCUCCUCUGGAGAUGUUCAAGACUUGUGUGACCUGGUGUAGGGAACCUGCUUUGGCAGGGGGGUUGGACUCAAUGAUCUCUGGAGGUCCCUUCCAACCCCUACGAUUCUGUGAUUCCGUAUGUUUCAGGAUGAAAACUGGCUGAUUUGCUUGAAAUGAUCUCAGUUUCACAUCUCUGUUUUCAGAUAUAUUUUGAGUAUAAGGUAUAUAAAAUACAGUGUGAUUGUCUGGUAUGGAAGAAAUCAGUCAGAUUCUGCCCAUUGCUGCUAGCACACAGCAUGCAUAGGCAUCAGAUGCAGCAGCAUGAGCAUAACCAAAAGCAGAUUUUAGAUCCGCAUGGGUCCAGCGAACGGCAGCUGCUUGGUCACUUCUCAUCACAGCUCUGUGUCCUUCUACAGGAGCUAUUGGGCUACAGAAACUGACGGCAAGCCCAGAAAUGCCAGGGUCUGUGUGGCACAGCAAGGAGCAGGCUCAUGCUCAGACUGCUCCAGCUUCAGCAUGUUCCAAAUUCCCCUAUAUAACAGCAAGUACAGCCUGGUCAAGACAUGGCACACACCAUUUAACAACAGGACAGAGAGGGAAUUUUCCACUCUGGAGGAGCAGGACCAUGCUUAAUAGGAGCAUAAUUUUCUGCUAUUGUACAUUCACAUGCUUGCUAUUGCAUGCAAUUAUUUGCAGGUCUGAAAAAUGCCCUGCUAACUGGCUGCACUGAGAAGAAUAUGGAGACAAAAGAAACUCCUGGUACAGAUUUGGUUCAUCAGAAAAAAAUAAUUAUAAUAAUAGAAAGGAAAAUAAAGGCAAAAUCUGAUGUCA